CUCCAGGCCGCCCUCCGGAUCCGAUCCUGCGAAUGGUUUUGGCCACAUCUUCAUGUAGGACCUACUGCCUAUCCCGUCGGCCGCGGUGAAUCCCACCUGCGGUGCUUUAACUUGUGCCCAGAGCCAUGGCUAUCUCCUCUUCCUCCUGCGAACUGCCCCUGGUGGCUGUGUGCCAGGUAACAUCGACGCCAGACAAGCAACAGAACUUUAAAACAUGUGCUGA
RNAcentral lists this small RNA (223 nucleotides) under Pongo abelii (Sumatran orangutan). Its description in RNAcentral is "processed transcript". The record is from RNAcentral. Lineage: Eukaryota; Metazoa; Chordata; Mammalia; Primates; Hominidae.